UACGUAGGUGACAAGCGUUGUCCGGAUUUACUGGGCGUAAAGAGCGCGCAGGCGGUCGAUCAAGUCGAGUGUGAAAGCCCCCGGCUCAACUGGGGAGGGUCAUUCGAUACUGAUCGACUCGAAGGCAGGAGAGGGUAGUGGAAUUCCCGGUGUAGUGGUGAAAUACAUAGAUAUUGGGAAGAACACCGGUGGCGAAGGCGGCGACCUGGUCCGAUACUGACGCUGAGGCGCGAAAGCGUGGGGAGCAAACAGG
RNAcentral lists this ribosomal RNA (253 nucleotides) under uncultured bacterium. Its description in RNAcentral is "partial 16S ribosomal RNA". It matches the Rfam family "Bacterial small subunit ribosomal RNA", at positions 524 to 776 of the family's 1533-position model. The record is from RNAcentral.